AUCGCAUCUCAGUUUUUUGACUAAGAUCAAAGUGUAGUAACCGUUCUUAUCAGUUUAAUCUCUAGUAUGGCCUCCAUAGGGAGCCCAGAAGAUUAAACUGAUUUUUGGAAAAUGACGGAAAGCUAGGUGGGCUUGCUCCACCACUGUCGCGGGUUGACCUGAUGUUGCAAUAUCUCCGGGCUUUUUUAGUCGCCAAGGU
RNAcentral lists this small nuclear RNA (199 nucleotides) under Rhodnius prolixus. Its description in RNAcentral is "U2 spliceosomal RNA". It matches the Rfam family "U2 spliceosomal RNA". Rfam says of the family: U2 is a small nuclear RNA (snRNA) component of the spliceosome (involved in pre-mRNA splicing). Complementary binding between U2 snRNA (in an area lying towards the 5' end but 3' to hairpin I) and the branchpoint sequence (BPS) of the intron results the bulging out of an unpaired adenosine, on the BPS, which initiates a nucleophilic attack at the intronic 5' splice site, thus starting the first of two transesterification reactions that mediate splicing. The record is from RNAcentral. Lineage: Eukaryota; Metazoa; Arthropoda; Insecta; Hemiptera; Reduviidae.